RNAcentral lists this ribosomal RNA (253 nucleotides) under uncultured bacterium. RNAcentral's name for it is "partial 16S ribosomal RNA". It matches the Rfam family "Bacterial small subunit ribosomal RNA", at positions 524 to 776 of the family's 1533-position model. The record is from RNAcentral.
UACGGAGGGUGCGAGCGUUGUUCGGAAUCACUGGGCGUAAAGGGCGUGUAGGCGGUCCGCUAAGUCUGAUGUGAAAGCCCGGGGCUCACCCCCGGAAGUGCAUUGGAAACUGGCGGACUCGAGUCCCGGAGAGGAGAGUGGAAUUCCUGGUGUAGCGGUGAAAUGCGUAGAUAUCAGGAGGAACACCGGUGGCGAAGGCGGCUCUCUGGACGGUGACUGACGCUGAGACGCGAAAGCGUGGGUAGCAAACAGG